Molecule: long non-coding RNA, 1444 nt
Filed under: Cyanistes caeruleus (blue tit)
Lineage: Eukaryota; Metazoa; Chordata; Aves; Passeriformes; Paridae
Description: lncRNA (ENSCCEG00000004353.1)
Source: RNAcentral
CGCCCUUUUUCCUCCCCUCACGUUUCCCGCCCUUUUCUCCGCCCUCACGCUUCCCGCCCUUUUUUAUCGGCAUUUUUUGCCCUCUUUUGCCCACAUUUCGUGCAUUUUUCCUCUCAUUUUCUGCCUUUUUUACCCACAUUUUCCGCCCUUUUUAAUUCGCGUUUUCUUCCCCUUUUUUAAUCCCAUUUUCUGCCCUUUUUUACCCAUUUUUUUUGCCUAUUUUCGCUCGUUUUUUGUUGUUUCUCAGCCCCAUUUUUGGUCAACUUUUGCUCAUUUUUUAUGCGUUUUUCAGCCUCAUUUUUGGGCGACUUUCCCUCAUUUUUCCCCCAUUUUUCCCCCCCCAUUUUCCAUAUUUUUUCCCCAUUUUUUUGCCUUUUUUUGCCCCAUUUUUUUCCCAUGGAGACCCCAAAUUCCGAUUCCCCCCUGGCAGAGCCUUUAUUGGGGAUUUUGGGGUCCCUCACCCCGAUUUUGAGGUCCUUCACCCCGAUUUUGGGGUCACUGCUCGCCUUUAUUGGGGUUUUUGGGGUCCCUCACCCCGAUUUUGGGGUCCCUCACCCCGAUUUUGGGGUCCCUCAGCCCGGUUUUGGGGUCCCUCAGCCCGGUUUUGGGGUCACUGCUCGCCCUGCCACCAGUGGUAGAGCUGAUCCGUCAGGAUCCCGGUGUAGGUGACCACGGCCGUGGCUCCCUGCUCGUACGCCGUGCUGGGGGGAAAAACACAGAAUUUGGGAAAAAAUACAAAAUUCGGGCAGAAAAACCAGAAAUUGGGGGUGAAAACCACAAAAUUCUGGGGGAAAACCCAAAAUUUGGGGGGGAAAACUCAAAAAUUGGGGGGAAAAACCCAAAAAUUGGGGGUGAAAACCCAAAAAUUGGGAGAGAAAACCAAAAUUUUGGAGGAAAACCCACAAAAUUUGGGGAAAAAAACCAAAAAUUUGGGGAAAAAAACCAAAAAUUGGGGAGGAAACCCAAAAAUUGUGGGGGGAAAACCUUAAAAUUGGAGGGGAAAACCCAAAAUUUGGGGUAAAACCCCAAAAUUUGGGGAAAGAAAACCAAAAAUUGGGGGGAAAACCCAAAAUUUCUGGGGGGAAAACUUUAAAAUUGGGGGAGAAAACCUCAAAAUUUGGGUAAAAACCCCAAAAAUUUGGGUUAAAAACCAAAAUUGGGGUAAAAAACCCCAAAAUUUGGGGUAAAAAACCCAAAAUUGGGGUCCCCAAAGCAAUUUUUGGGUAGAAAAUCCCAAUUUUUGAGUGGGUCCCGGGGGAUUUUUGGGGUUCCCCAAUUUUUGGGGGGGGUCCCAGGGGAUUUUUGGGGUUCCCGGAUUUUUUGAGGUUCCCGGAUUUUUUGGGGGGUUCCCAGGGGAUUUUUGGGUUCCCGGUUUUUUUGAGGUUCCCGGAUUUUGGGGGGGGUCCCAGGGGAUUUUUGGGGUUCCCGAAUUUUUGGGGUUCCC